AUACGUAGGGGGCGAGCGUUGUCCGGAAUGAUUGGGCGUAAAGGGCGCGUAGGCGGCCCGGUAAGUCUGGAGUGAAAGUCCUGCUUUUAAGGUGGGAAUUGCUUUGGAUACUGUCGGGCUUGAGUGCAGGAGAGGUAAGUGGAAUUCCCAGUGUAGCGGUGAAAUGCGUAGAGAUUGGGAGGAACACCAGUGGCGAAGGCGACUUACUGGACUGUAACUGACGCUGAGGCGCGAAAGUGUGGGGAGCAAACAGGAUUAGAUACCCUGGUAGUCCACACUGUAAACGAUGAAUGCUAGGUGUAGGGGGUAUCGACCCCUUCUGUGCCGCAGUUAACACAAUAAGCAUUCCGCCUGGGGAGUACGGCCGCAAGGUUGAAACUUAAAUGAAUUGGCGGGG
RNAcentral lists this ribosomal RNA (397 nucleotides) under uncultured bacterium. RNAcentral's name for it is "partial 16S ribosomal RNA". It matches the Rfam family "Bacterial small subunit ribosomal RNA", at positions 523 to 918 of the family's 1533-position model. The record is from RNAcentral.